This 449-nucleotide ribosomal RNA is filed under the name uncultured bacterium. RNAcentral describes it as "partial 16S ribosomal RNA". It matches the Rfam family "Bacterial small subunit ribosomal RNA", at positions 29 to 523 of the family's 1533-position model. The record is from RNAcentral.
AACGAACGCUGGCGGCAUGCCUAACACAUGCAAGUCGAACGAGACCUUCGGGUCUAGUGGCGCACGGGUGCGUAACGCGUGGGAAUCUGCCCUUGGGUUCGGGAUAACAGUUGGAAACGACUGCUAAUACCGGAUGACGUCUUCGGACCAAAGAUUUAUCGCCCAGGGAUGAGCCCGCGUCGGAUUAGCUAGUUGGUAGGGUAAAAGCCUACCAAGGCGACGAUCCGUAGCUGGUCUGAGAGGAUGAUCAGCCACACUGGGACUGAGACACGGCCCAGACUGCGACGGGGGGCAGGAGUAGGGAAUAUUGGACAGUGGGCGAAAGCCUGAUCCAGCAAUGCCGCGUGAGUGAUGAAGGCCUUAGGGUUGUAAAGCUCUUUUACCCGGGAUGAUAAUGACAGUACCGGGAGAAUAAGCCCCGGCUAACUCCGUGCCAGCCGCCGCGGUAA